This 263-nucleotide long non-coding RNA is filed under the name Jatropha curcas. RNAcentral's name for it is "long non-coding RNA (JCUR_LNC003504)". The record is from RNAcentral. Lineage: Eukaryota; Viridiplantae; Streptophyta; Magnoliopsida; Malpighiales; Euphorbiaceae.
UAUCUAAUUUCUCAUAUAUAUAUAUAUAUAUAUAUUGGAAAAUUUUAAAGGGAAACAAUAAUAGGAGCCAGAUACUCGGCCUGAAGUCUAACUCACUGUAUGCUUGCCUAAAAAUAUUAUAUAUGUAUAUAUUACAAAGUUUAAGAUACUCUACUUUUGCUGAAACUACAAGUAGUUUUGGGGGGAAGAUGAGACUACAAGUUAUCAUCACUAUCUGACAUCUGUCCUUGCUUUGAAUAAAAUAAGGGAGCGUCAUCAUUCUC